GGUGCUUCUCCUCCUCUCCUCCUCUCUCUCUCCUUUUCCCACCUCUCUCGCUCUUUCUCCCGACGCAGGUGGAGCGGCGGCGACUUCGGCACGCGGCGCUCGGCCGGUGGCCGCCCCAGCAAUGGAGCAGCGCGGCUAGGCUCCGCCGGUGGCCCCCCGCCACGGCUUCCCCCCUGCGUUGCCUCCUCUCGGUGAUCCACGGGCGCUCCACGAAACCCUAACUGCGUCUUCCUCGUCGGUGGCGGCAACAGCGGCGGCUCAGCUCGACUUCAUAAACACAGCUAGAUACCUCUCUAGAGAUUGGCCUGUGCUGAAAGGCCAGCCGCCAGUGUAGUCGAAGAUGUCAACUUGGGGGAUACCUUGCUAAAGUACUGAAGGUUUGCAAUAUUGGAUAUAUUUACGACUACUACAGAAAUAUAUGCAAAAAAAAGGAUUCUGCCUAGGUUAGUGGAGGACUUGGCGGACGGUAGCAUUGACUAAAAUUUGCCCAAUUUUGCCUAGUUGUAUAUCUCAUUGAAUGACAACCCAACCUACUGAGCUCUGUUCAAGCUGUCAAACUUGCAACAUCUUCUCCUAUCGACCAACGGCGAUGCCACCAUACUAAAAAUUAAUGACUUUGGGUUUGCCAAGUGAGAGCAGUUAUGGGCAGAUAGAAGGGUUUGUUUGCUGUUGGAAUUCUGUACAGUGUACAGAUCCUAUCUCCUACAGUGCAUCAAACAAAAAAAGGGUGACGAUGUAAAGGGUUAAUGAAGAUGGGAGAUGCAGAGGUGUCAGUCCGUGUGUAUGAUAAGGCGAACUUCCUUGGCCCAUUUUUUUUCAGAUAAUGGCUUGGUUAACUUUGAGAAGAAAGAUUCCUAUGUACAGCUUUCACUGUCCCUAAUCUCUUCAAAAUGUUACCAACUUAUGUAACAUACAUGGCUUCAAACAUAUAUGUACGUGGCUUCUGUUAUCACCAUGUAAACACAUCAGAGGCUAUGCGUGUGUAGACGCAUCCUGUACAUGUAUAUCUCUAGGAUCAUUAUCUUGUUAUGGACAACUUGCAGUAUUUACUGACUCACGCGCGCGGGUUGUACUAGUGUUACUUA
Sorghum bicolor (sorghum) is the source of this 1085-nucleotide long non-coding RNA. RefSeq lists it as uncharacterized. Lineage: Eukaryota; Viridiplantae; Streptophyta; Magnoliopsida; Poales; Poaceae. The record is from RefSeq and is a predicted model, not a curated record. The transcript has 6 exons.